AACGAACGCUGGCGGCGUGUUUAAGACAUGCAAGUCGCACGGGACUAUUUGAGUAGCAAUACAAGAAUAGUCUAGUGGCGCACGGGUGAGUAACACGUGAAUUACACGCCCUGCAGAGGGGGAUAGCCCAGGGAAACUUGGAUUAAUACCCCAUGGUAUCGCGAGAUUAAAGGUGGCCGCAAGGCUGUCGCUGCAGGAUUGGUUCGCGCCCUAUCAGCUUGUUGGUGAGGUAACGGCUCACCAAGGCUACGACGGGUACCUGGUCUGAGAGGACGAACAGGCACACUGGAACUGAGACACGGUCCAGACACCUACGGGUGGCAGCAGUCGAGAAUAAUUCACAAUGGGGGCAACCCUGAUGGUGCAACGCCGCGUGGAGGAUGAAGGUCUUCGGAUUGUAAACUCCUGUCAUCCGGGAGUAAGACCUGGCGAUGAAUAGUCGACAGGGUUGAUAGUACCGGAAGAGGAAGGGACGGCUAACUUCGUGCCAGCAGCCGCCGUAA
RNAcentral lists this ribosomal RNA (503 nucleotides) under uncultured bacterium. RNAcentral describes it as "partial 16S ribosomal RNA". It matches the Rfam family "Bacterial small subunit ribosomal RNA", at positions 29 to 523 of the family's 1533-position model. The record is from RNAcentral.